AUCAUGGCUCAGGAUGAACGCUAGCGGCAGGCUUAACACAUGCAAGUCGAGGGGCAUCGGGAGUAGCAAUACUGCCGGCGACCGGCGCAAGGGUGCGUAACGCGUGAGCAACAUGCCCGUAUCAGGGGGAUAAUCCAUGGAAACGUGGUCUAAUACCCCAUAGUAAUUAUGUAAGGCAUCUUAUAUAAUUUAAAGCUUUGGUGGAUACGGAUUGGCUCGCGUGACAUUAGCUAGAUGGUAAGGUAACGGCUUACCAUGGCUACGAUGUCUAGGGGUUCUGAGAGGAAGGCCCCCCACACUGGAACUGAGACACGGUCCAGACUCCUACGGGAGGCAGCAGUGAGGAAUAUUGGACAAUGGAUGGAAAUCUGAUCCAGCCAUGCCGCGUGCCAGGAAGACGGCCCUAUGGGUUGUAAACUGCUUUUGUAUGGGAGCAAUAAGGGCUACGCGUAGUCCGAUGAGAGUACCAUACGAAUAAGCACCGGCUAACUCCGUGCCAGCCGCAGC
RNAcentral lists this ribosomal RNA (507 nucleotides) under uncultured bacterium. RNAcentral describes it as "bacterial SSU rRNA". It matches the Rfam family "Bacterial small subunit ribosomal RNA", at positions 16 to 518 of the family's 1533-position model. The record is from RNAcentral.